RNAcentral lists this RNase MRP RNA (338 nucleotides) under Peniophora sp. CONT. Its description in RNAcentral is "RNase MRP". It matches the Rfam family "RNase MRP". Rfam says of the family: RNase MRP is an enzymatically active ribonucleoprotein with two distinct roles in eukaryotes. In mitochondria it plays a direct role in the initiation of mitochondrial DNA replication. Lineage: Eukaryota; Fungi; Basidiomycota; Agaricomycetes; Russulales; Peniophoraceae. The record is from Rfam by way of RNAcentral.
CCUCCGCGCAAAGAAUCGCCAUCGCAGCACACAUACAGAAGACCUAACCCUCUUCUCUCUCAAAGCUGUGGGGAAAGUCCCCGGAGACGCAGGUCGUAUUCAAUACCGCCGCGCGCGCAACCUCCCUGGAAAGCGCUGGUCGUCAAUACGGCUGGCUAAAGCGCGCGGGGCGCCCUCUUCAUCUCAUAUUGGGGAAAGAGGGACCUGUGGCGGCGCGCACGACUGUUAUAACGCGAAGAUACGAGCGGGUCGAUGCGCGUGUUCGCAUUUGUUGCUCGUAGAUAUAGUUAUGCGAUUGCACUUCGGUGUAACGGAAUGGGGCUCACUCCUGCGCGGGG